UGCUUGCACAAACUUAUAUACAGGUGCUGCACGGCNGUUCGUCAGCUCGUGUCGUGAGAUGUUGGGUUAAGUCCCGCAACGAGCGCAACCCUCGUCAUUAGUUGCUAACAGUUCGGCUGAGAACUCUAAUGAGACUGCCUACGCAAGUAGGAGGAAGGUGAGGACGACGUCAAGUCAUCAUGGCCCUUACGUCCAGGGCUACACACGUGCUACAGUGGGGUAUACAAAGAGCAGCAAUACGGUGACGUGGAGCAAAUCUCAAAAAUAUCUCCCAGUUCGGAUUGUAGUCUGCAACUCGACUACAUGAAGUUGGAAUCGCUAGUAAUCGUAGAUCAGCUAUGCUACGGUGAAUACGUUCCCGGGUCUUGUACACACC
RNAcentral lists this ribosomal RNA (376 nucleotides) under uncultured bacterium. RNAcentral describes it as "bacterial SSU rRNA". It matches the Rfam family "Bacterial small subunit ribosomal RNA", at positions 1017 to 1391 of the family's 1533-position model. The record is from RNAcentral.